Molecule: small nuclear RNA, 107 nt
Filed under: Tursiops truncatus (common bottlenose dolphin)
Lineage: Eukaryota; Metazoa; Chordata; Mammalia; Artiodactyla; Delphinidae
Also listed under: 1 other name
Source: RNAcentral
GUGCUCGCCUCGGCAGCACAUAUACUAAAAUUGGAACGAUACAGAGAAGAGUAGCAUGGCCCCUGAGCAAGGAUGACAAGCACAUUCGCCAAGUGUUCCACAUUUUU